UGACACUGCGCAGGUCCCCGGGUUGGAUGC
RNAcentral lists this small RNA (30 nucleotides) under Bombyx mori (domestic silkworm). RNAcentral's name for it is "ovarian small RNA-31355". Lineage: Eukaryota; Metazoa; Arthropoda; Insecta; Lepidoptera; Bombycidae. The record is from RNAcentral.